This 1712-nucleotide long non-coding RNA is filed under the name Coffea arabica (coffee). RNAcentral's name for it is "long non-coding RNA (CARA_LNC000721)". Lineage: Eukaryota; Viridiplantae; Streptophyta; Magnoliopsida; Gentianales; Rubiaceae. The record is from RNAcentral.
UGUUGUUUACAAUUUGGAAAGUAAUAAUAAUUAUGGAUUGGUUUGUCCUCGCUUCCAUUAAUUUAAGUCUUAAAUGUUGAAGGAUGAUUCAAAGCACAAGUCAUAAUAUUAUUGUCACUUUCAAUAUAUUACUAAUAGCAAAUUGUAUUUUAUUAUUCUUGAAAGGUGACUAGGCCAAAAGUUUCAAGCUCAUCUGCAAUUGUCGUAAUUAUCGGAUGCCACAUGUUAGGGGGGCCAACUUUCAAUUUCGUGAAUCAUGCCUGCUUCAGUUGUUCCCUUGUGUGCUUUAAAUCAGUACCACACGGUUGUGAGCCGAUGAUGAUGGUUACUUGAAACUAUCAAAUACAGGAUAGGAGACCAAAAUGGCUCGAGGAUAACAGCGCCACAUGACUACAUGGAAGAAUUUAAGCUCAGGGCUAAGUACGCUGCAGUGGUUUUAGUACACCAUGAGUAGGAUUUAUUUAGGCAAAAUUCUGCAAAAUAAAACGUUUGUCACAUUUUAUCAAAUAAUUUUUUUUUCUUUUUAUUUUUAAAAUAUUAAUUUUACGUCUCUUUGUAAAUUUAAGUUAGCAAAAUUUUUGUUUCAAUUUAAGUUUUUGACCACUUUUGAAAGUAAAUUUGAUUUUGGUAGUUGCAAGAGGUUCUUGAUACAUAACACCUUCAACUUGGUUUCUAGUCAUUAGUCCAUUUACCCAUAAAUCCUUUUGCUUUUAUUUUUUUUAGAUACGAUAGACCUAAAGAGAUCUAAGAUAAUUUGAAGGGGACUGAACCAUCAUCGAAUCAGACAGGUGCACUUUGAAUUUUUUAAGUAGAAUCACUUUUUUUAAUGUAGUGAGUGCACCUGUUUGAAUUUUUUAAGUAGAAUCACUUUUUUUAAUGUAGUGAAUUGGUGGGAGGCAAAGGUUGUAUCCCACCACGCUUUAAUGUAACUUUUGACUUCCACCCCACCUAGCCUUUGAGCUGGUGGUUCCUUAAAUCCUUCUGCUUGCAAUAGCAUCUUUUGUCUUUUCUAGUUUAUGCUCUUGUUGUUACUUAAAACCUUUUUGAAAUAGUAGUGAUCAACAAUUUGCCUGAGAAUAUCCAUAGCAGGCCGCAGGAGUAGUAAAUAGAGUAACAAAACACUACUGCUAAGUGCUAAAUGACUUGUCUGUUUCUGUACGUAGCUUGCAAUAAAGGCACUUUUCUUGCUGCUGCGAGACAACAGGACCCGAAGAGGCAUCUCGAGGAUACAUGGCUAGCCCCACCAAAUUAACUCUUAUCUCCGAUAUGAUUGCGAAGGCCCCCCCCCCCCCCACCCACAAAGCCCAUUUCAAAAGAUUCAAAACAUGACCUUUCAGUUUCAGCAGCAUGUGCAAUUCGCACAAGGGCCUGAGGAAGGAAGGAAGGAGGGAAAUCACCUUGGUACCUUAACCCAAAUGAUUUAUUUCGCAACUGCCAAGUGCAUAAUUCACCAAAAGAUAAAAAGGCGAACAAUGGUGUUAAAUCAAAGAGAAAACCAUGCAUAUUCAAACGUCUUUUCGACCCAUCCGCUGGUAAAUGUCGUUUGCAUCCUGUCUUAAGGAGACGUAUUUAGGAAUGCAGAGUUGCAGACCUCCGGGGUUGGCAAGGCUUCAAUGGAAUAGCUUAGGCUUGUUCUUAAUUUCUGUUUUAAUUAUUUUGUUAUGUUUCGAAAAUUCAACUAUAUAUAUAUAUGAAAGUAACUAUUUUAAUUA